Molecule: ribosomal RNA, 243 nt
Filed under: uncultured bacterium
Lineage: Bacteria
Description: partial 16S ribosomal RNA
Rfam family: Bacterial small subunit ribosomal RNA
Source: RNAcentral
CCGAGUGGCGGACGGGUGGGUAACGCGUGGGUAACCUGCCUCAUGCAGGGGGAUAACGGUUAGAAAUGACUGCUAAUACCGCAUAAGCGCACAGUACCGCAUGGUACGGUGUGAAAAACUCCGGUGGUAUGAGAUGGACCCGCGUCUGAUUAGCUAGUUGGUGGGGUAACGGCCUACCAAGGCGACGAUCAAUAGCCGACCUGAGAGGGUGACCGGCCACAUUGGGACUGAGACACGGCCCAA